ACGAAAGAAAGUUCUCGUGCGUUUUUCAUUAAUUUAGUAACUCGUUGAUUGUAAAAUAUUCAUAGUCAUUUACCAGUCGAAGACGAAGCUUGCCAAGAUUCAAGAAAUUUGCAUGUAGUUUUACUGUGAGUUUGGAGUAAACUCAAUUUUGAGGGUCGCUGUUCUCCUGAAAGUCUACAAACAGUACGGAAAUGCAAGACAACCAGCCUUCCAGCAUAUUAAAGCUAAUUAAGAAUGCACAAAGCAAAGAAAUGUGCAUGUAGUUCGCGAAUGUCAAGAAAUAAGAUCAAUUCAUGGUCGGUAAGUUUUAAGCAAUGUUUUUCAUUGAUUUUUAGUACUUUGUGGUUUCAUAUUGACGUAUUUGUUUGCUCUG
This is a non-coding RNA of Paramuricea clavata, 373 nucleotides long. Lineage: Eukaryota; Metazoa; Cnidaria; Anthozoa; Malacalcyonacea; Plexauridae. The record is from the annotation of a GenBank genome assembly.